UAGAAUUUGUCUCUUUUAGUAUUUUUCCAGUAGGUUUUCUUUAAAUGAAAACCCCU
Molecule: small nuclear RNA, 56 nt
Organism: Carassius auratus (goldfish)
Lineage: Eukaryota; Metazoa; Chordata; Actinopteri; Cypriniformes; Cyprinidae
Gene: U7
Rfam family: U7 small nuclear RNA
About the family: Animal histone pre-mRNAs are spliced by a different mechanism than nuclear pre-mRNAs and self-splicing introns. This processing involves the U7 snRNP, which contains only one RNA species: U7.
Source: Ensembl